This 1242-nucleotide long non-coding RNA is filed under the name Pan troglodytes (chimpanzee). RNAcentral describes it as "lncRNA (ENSPTRG00000053748.1)". Lineage: Eukaryota; Metazoa; Chordata; Mammalia; Primates; Hominidae. The record is from RNAcentral.
GCUCUGAGGACCCACAUCCCCAGACAGAAGCCUCAAAGCUAAAGGGAUGUGGAAGCUUUAGGAAAGUCUGGGGUGGAAGAAACUGCCAACCCUGUCCUGUAAACAGGUUUGCCAUACUGGUAAAAAAAAAAAAAAUAAUCACAGCUGUGACAGGGACAUACUAGUAGAAAAAUGCUACUGUACUAAGAAUCCACCUCACUUUCUCUCCCCAGCCAGUCCAGCCAAGCAUGCAGCAGGCAUACAACCAAGAUAGCUGCUUCUUCCUGUCCUACCUCAUCCCCUCUGACAGUUCCAUAAUAACCUGUGUACACUUUCUGGCACCCUUGCUUCUCCAGGUCACGCCUUCCAAUGGAAGGGGAAGCAGUGACAAAGGUGAAAAUCAUGGCGGUAACAGAAGUCAUUUACAGCGCGGAGUCUCCAACCCACAAUCACUGGGCAUCCCAUGGCUUUAAGAGCUCUGAAUGAUCAAUGGGAAAUAACUGCUAAGUCACCCAGCACAGAUUUUCGUCAUUACCUGUUCCUGCUCUGGACUCAGCCCCAGCCCUGGGGAGCUUCUAAACCAUGCGUUCAGCUCCUUCGGGACCCACUUGAUUACCCUGGAAACAGCAAGACAGCUCCAGCUCAAAAAUCAGAUGAUGCUAGGAUUUUUUCAUUUUUUAUUAUAAGAUUAAAGGGAAAAUGGUUACCCCUAUGGCUUGACAAACACAUAUAGUUUAUUUCAAAAAUGGGUAGCUGUGGGAAAGAAAGGAAUAUCUGAGCACAUGAUUUUAUCCAAUUAUGGCAAGAUUUAGUAUAAAUCAAAAACACCAAUCCUGAAUUCUUGUAGCUGAUUAGAUCUUCAUUCUUUCAUUCAUUGUAAUAGAAAUAGUGGCAGGAGCCCAUAGUGCCAGCUACCUUGGAGGCUGAGGCCGGAGGGUCCCCAGAGCCCAGGAGUUUGAGUCUAGUGUGGGCAAUAUAGUGAGACCCUGUCUCCUAAAAAAAUACAUAAUUUAAUGGACAGCUACUUUGUGCUGUGUUCUGUGCAAGGCACUAGUAUUGGAGAGUCCAUUGACAAUCAGAAAGAGAUCUUGUUCACAGAGGAGAGUAAUGAAUUAACAGAGGAAAUGAAUGUGUGUGGAUUGUUCUAAUACCAGAUAGAGGGCGGCAGCAAUGAUGGCAGAGGUUGACCUAGAAUGCUAUUGUUUCAAGAGAGGGAGAGUUUCCCUUGGCUUGAUGAUCCAAGGAAGACUUGUUGAAGAAAAU